RNAcentral lists this ribosomal RNA (480 nucleotides) under uncultured bacterium. Its description in RNAcentral is "partial 16S ribosomal RNA". It matches the Rfam family "Bacterial small subunit ribosomal RNA", at positions 28 to 523 of the family's 1533-position model. The record is from RNAcentral.
GACGAACGCUGGCGGCGUGCCUAACACAUGCAAGUCGAACGGACGAGGCCCCUUCGGGGACCGAGUUAGUGGCGGACGGGUGAGUAACGCGUGAGCAACCUGCCUUUCAGAGGGGGACAACAGUUGGAAACGACUGCUAAUACCGCAUAACACAUUCGGGGGGCAUCCCCUGAAUGUCAAAGAUUUAUCGCUGAAAGAUGGGCCCGCGUCUGAUUAGCUAGUUGGUGAGGUAACGGCUCACCAAGGCGACGAUCAGUAGCCGGACUGAGAGGUUGAACGGCCACAUUGGGACUGAGAUACGGCCCAGACUCCUACGGGAGGCAGCAGUGGGGAAUAUUGGGCAAUGGGGGAAACCCUGACCCAGCAACGCCGCGUGAAGGAAGAAGGCUUUCGGGUUGUAAACUUCUUUUACCAGGGACGAAGACGUGACGGUACCUGGAGAAAAAGCCACGGCUAACUACGUGCCAGCCGCCGCCGUAA